GACUAUAUCACAUUGAAAUAUUGUUUCCCAUACGAUCACUGAAGUUAAGGAACAUCGAGCCUGGUCAGUACUUACAUGGGUGACCACUUUGGAAUAUCGGGUGGUGUAA
Molecule: non-coding RNA, 109 nt
Organism: Acanthosepion pharaonis
Lineage: Eukaryota; Metazoa; Mollusca; Cephalopoda; Sepiida; Sepiidae
Source: the annotation of a GenBank genome assembly